GGACCCGCACAAGCGGUGGAGCAUGUGGUUUAAUUCGAAGCAACGCGAAGAACCUUACCAAAUCUUGACAUCCCUCUGACCGACGCUUAAUGGCGUCUUCUCUUCGGAGCAGAGGUGACAGGUGGUGCAUGGUUGUCGUCAGCUCGUGUCGUGAGAUGUUGGGUUAAGUCCCGCAACGAGCGCAACCCUUAUUUUUAGUAGCCAGCAGUUCGGCUGGGCACUCUAGAGAGACUGCCGGGGAUAACCCGGAGGAAGGUGGGGAUGACGUCAAAUCAUCAUGCCCCUUAUGAUUUGGGCUACACACGUGCUACAAUGGCGUAAACAAAGGGACGCGACCCUGUGAAGGUGAGCAAAUCUCAAAAAUAACGUCUCAGUUCGGAUUGUAGUCUGCAACUCGACUACAUGAAGCUGGAAUCGCUAGUAAUCGCGAAUCAGAAUGUCGCGGUGAAUACGUUCCCGGGUCUU
RNAcentral lists this ribosomal RNA (465 nucleotides) under uncultured bacterium. Its description in RNAcentral is "bacterial SSU rRNA". It matches the Rfam family "Bacterial small subunit ribosomal RNA", at positions 917 to 1382 of the family's 1533-position model. The record is from RNAcentral.